GUGCUCGCAAGAGAACCGGAACACAGGUGCUGCAUGGCUGUCGUCAGCUCGUGUCGUGAGAUGUUGGGUUAAGUCCCGCAACGAGCGCAACCCUUGUCAUUAGUUGCUACGAAAGGGCAUUUGAGUGAGACUGCCGGUGACAAACCGGAGGAAGGUGGGGAUGACGUCAAGUCCUCAUGGCCCUUAUGGGUAGGGCUUCACACGUCAUACAAUGGUCGGGACAGAGGGUCGCCAACCCGCGAGGGGGAGCCAAUCCCAGAAACCCGAUCGUAGUCCGGAUCGCAGUCUGCAACUCGACUGCGUGAAGUCGGAAUCGCUAGUAAUCGCGGAUCAGCAUGUCGCGGUGAAUACGUUCCCGGGUCUUGUACACACCGCCCGUCACACCAUGGGAGUGGGUUUUACCAGAAGUAGUUAGCCUAACCGCAAGGAGGGCGAUACCCAUC
Molecule: ribosomal RNA, 443 nt
Filed under: Achromobacter xylosoxidans
Lineage: Bacteria; Pseudomonadati; Pseudomonadota; Betaproteobacteria; Burkholderiales; Alcaligenaceae
Description: bacterial SSU rRNA
Rfam family: Bacterial small subunit ribosomal RNA
Source: RNAcentral